GCAGGCCUAACACAUGCAAGUCGAGCGGUAGCACAGAGAGCUUGCUCUCGGGUGACGAGCGGCGGACGGGUGAGUAAUGUCUGGGAAACUGCCUGAUGGAGGGGGAUAACUACUGGAAACGGUAGCUAAUACCGCAUAACGUCGCAAGACCAAAGAGGGGGACCUUCGGGCCUCUUGCCAUCAGAUGUGCCCAGAUGGGAUUAGCUAGUAGGUGGGGUAACGGCUCACCUAGGCGACGAUCCCUAGCUGGUCUGAGAGGAUGACCAGCCACACUGGAACUGAGACACGGUCCAGACUCCUACGGGAGGCAGCAGUGGGGAAUAUUGCACAAUGGGCGCAAGCCUGAUGCAGCCAUGCCGCGUGUAUGAAGAAGGCCUUCGGGUUGUAAAGUACUUUCAGCGAGGAGGAAGGCAUUGUGGUUAAUAACCACAGUGAUUGACGUUACUCGCAGAAGAAGCACCGGCUAACUCC
RNAcentral lists this ribosomal RNA (471 nucleotides) under rape rhizosphere bacterium m9030. RNAcentral's name for it is "bacterial SSU rRNA". It matches the Rfam family "Bacterial small subunit ribosomal RNA", at positions 42 to 504 of the family's 1533-position model. The record is from RNAcentral.